RNAcentral lists this ribosomal RNA (460 nucleotides) under uncultured bacterium. Its description in RNAcentral is "partial 16S ribosomal RNA". It matches the Rfam family "Bacterial small subunit ribosomal RNA", at positions 338 to 795 of the family's 1533-position model. The record is from RNAcentral.
CCUACGGGAGGCAGCAGUGAGGAAUAUUGGUCAAUGGACGAGAGUCUGAACCAGCCAAGUAGCGUGAAGGAUGACUGCCCUCUGGGUUGUAAACUUCUUUUAUAUGGGAAUAAAAUGUUCCUCGCGUGGGAUUUUGUAUGUACCAUAUGCAUAAGGAUAGGCUAACUCCGUGCCAGCAGCCGCGGUAAUACGGAGGUUCCGAGCGUUAUCCGGAUUUAUUGGGUUUAAAGGGGGCGUAGGUGGAUUGUUAAGUCAGUUGUGAAAGUUUGCGGCUCAACCGUAAAAUUGCAGUUGAAACUGGCAGUCUGGAGUACAGUAGAGGUAGGCGGAAUUCGUGGUGUAGCGGUGAAAUGCUUAGAUAUCACGAAGAACUCCGAUUGCGAAGGCAGUUCACUGGACUGCAACUGACACUGAGGCUCGAAAGUGUGGGUAUCAAAGAGGAUUAGAUACCCCAGUAGUC